AGAGUUCGAUCAUGGCUCAGAUUGAACGCUGGCGGCAGGCCUAACACAUGCAAGUCGAACGGUAACAGGAAGCAGCUUGCUGCUUCGCUGACGAGUGGCGGACGGGUGAGUAAUGUCUGGGAAGCUGCCUGAUGGAGGGGGAUAACUACUGGAAACGGUAGCUAAUACCGCAUAAUGUCGCAAGACCAAAGAGGGGGACCUUCGGGCCUCUUGCCAUCGGAUGUGCCCAGAUGGGAUUAGCUUGUUGGUGGGGUAACGGCUCACCAAGGCGACGAUCCCUAGCUGGUCUGAGAGGAUGACCAGCCACACUGGAACUGAGACACGGUCCAGACUCCUACGGGAGGCAGCAGUGGGGAAUAUUGCACAAUGGGCGCAAGCCUGAUGCAGCCAUGCCGCGUGUAUGAAGAAGGCCUUCGGGUUGUAAAGUACUUUCAGCGGGGAGGAAGGGAGUAAAGUUAAUACCUUUGCUCAUUGACGUUACCCGCAGAAGAAGCACCGGCUAACUCCGUGCCAGCAGCCGCGGUAAUACGGAGGGUGCAAGCGUUAAUCGGAAUUACUGGGCGUAAAGCGCACGCAGGCGGUUUGUUAAGUCAGAUGUGAAAUCCCCGGGCUCAACCUGGGAACUGCAUCUGAUACUGGCAAGCUUGAGUCUCGUAGAGGGGGGUAGAAUUCCAGGUGUAGCGGUGAAAUGCGUAGAGAUCUGGAGGAAUACCGGUGGCGAAGGCGGCCCCCUGGACGAAGACUGACGCUCAGGUGCGAAAGCGUGGGGAGCAAACAGGAUUAGAUACCCUGGUAGUCCACGCCGUAAACGAUGUCGACUUGGAGGUUGUGCCCUUGAGGCGUGGCUUCCGGAGCUAACGCGUUAAGUCGACCGCCUGGGGAGUACGGCCGCAAGGUUAAAACUCAAAUGAAUUGACGGGGGCCCGCACAAGCGGUGGAGCAUGUGGUUUAAUUCGAUGCAACGCGAAGAACCUUACCUGGUCUUGACAUCCACGGAAGUUUUCAGAGAUGAGAAUGUGCCUUCGGGAACCGUGAGACAGGUGCUGCAUGGCUGUCGUCAGCUCGUGUUGUGAAAUGUUGGGUUAAGUCCCGCAACGAGCGCAACCCUUAUCCUUUGUUGCCAGCGGUCCGGCCGGGAACUCAAAGGAGACUGCCAGUGAUAAACUGGAGGAAGGUGGGGAUGACGUCAAGUCAUCAUGGCCCUUACGACCAGGGCUACACACGUGCUACAAUGGCGCAUACAAAGAGAAGCGACCUCGCGAGAGCAAGCGGACCUCAUAAAGUGCGUCGUAGUCCGGAUUGGAGUCUGCAACUCGACUCCAUGAAGUCGGAAUCGCUAGUAAUCGUGGAUCAGAAUGCCACGGUGAAUACGUUCCCGGGCCUUGUACACACCGCCCGUCACACCAUGGGAGUGGGUUGCAAAAGAAGUAGGUAGCUUAACCUUCGGGAGGGCGCUUACCACUUUGUGAUUCAUGACUGGGGUGAAGUCGGAACAAGGUA
This 1500-nucleotide ribosomal RNA is filed under the name metagenome. Its description in RNAcentral is "bacterial SSU rRNA". It matches the Rfam family "Bacterial small subunit ribosomal RNA". The record is from RNAcentral.